This 253-nucleotide ribosomal RNA is filed under the name uncultured bacterium. RNAcentral's name for it is "partial 16S ribosomal RNA". It matches the Rfam family "Bacterial small subunit ribosomal RNA", at positions 524 to 776 of the family's 1533-position model. The record is from RNAcentral.
UACGAAGGGUGCAAACGUUGCUCGGAAUUAUUGGGCGUAAAGCGCACGUAGGCGGCUUAGCAAGUCGGAAGUGAAAUCCCACGGCUCAACCAUGGAAGUGCUUUCGAAACUGCUGAGCUUGAGUACGAAAGAGGAUCGCGGAAUUCCCGGUGUAGAGGUGAAAUUCGUAGAUAUCGGGAGGAACACCGGUGGCGAAGGCGGCUUCCUGGACCGACACUGACGCUGAGGCGCGAAAGCUAGGGGAGCAAACGGG